UGCAGUAGCCCAUGGCAUUAACCUUCCACUC
RNAcentral lists this non-coding RNA (31 nucleotides) under Homo sapiens (human). Lineage: Eukaryota; Metazoa; Chordata; Mammalia; Primates; Hominidae. The record is from RNAcentral.